ACGGGAGGCAGCAGUGAGGAAUAUUGGUCAAUGGAUGGAAGUCUGAACCAGCCAUGCCGCGUGAGGGACGAAUGCCCUAUGGGUUGUAAACCUCUUUUGCCACAGAGUAAUAAGGGUCGUGCGCGGCCUGGUGAGAGUAUGUGGCGAAUAAGCAUCGGCUAACUCCGUGCCAGCAGCCGCGGUAAUACGGAGGAUGCAAGCGUUAUCCGGAUUUAUUGGGUUUAAAGGGUGCGUAGGCGGACCUUUAAGUCAGCGGUGAAAUAUCCCGGCUCAACCGGGAGGCUGCCGUUGAUACUGAGGGUCUUGAGUCCGAACGGGGCCGGCGGAAUAUGUAAUGUAGCGGUGAAAUGCAUAGAUAUUACAUAGAACACCGAUCGCGAAGGCAGCUGGCGAGGACGGCACUGACGCUGAGGCACGAAGGCGUGGGGAUCAAACAGGAUUAGAUACCCUGGUA
RNAcentral lists this ribosomal RNA (454 nucleotides) under uncultured Rikenellaceae bacterium. RNAcentral describes it as "partial 16S ribosomal RNA". It matches the Rfam family "Bacterial small subunit ribosomal RNA", at positions 341 to 792 of the family's 1533-position model. Lineage: Bacteria; Pseudomonadati; Bacteroidota; Bacteroidia; Bacteroidales; Rikenellaceae. The record is from RNAcentral.